RNAcentral lists this ribosomal RNA (528 nucleotides) under Boulenophrys spinata (spiny spadefoot toad). RNAcentral's name for it is "partial 16S ribosomal RNA". It matches the Rfam family "Bacterial large subunit ribosomal RNA", at positions 1857 to 2597 of the family's 2925-position model. Lineage: Eukaryota; Metazoa; Chordata; Amphibia; Anura; Megophryidae. The record is from RNAcentral.
GCCUGCCCAGUGACCAUGAGUUCAACGGCCGCGGUAUUCUGACCGCGCGAAGGUAGCGUAAUCACUUGUUUUUUAAAUAAAGACUAGUAUGAACGGCCACACGAGGACUUAACUGUCUCCUUUGUCCAAUCAGUGAAACUGAUCUCCUCGUGCAGAAGCGAAGAUGUUCCCAUAAGACGAGAAGACCCUAUGGAGCUUUAAACUUUAUAUCAAUUAUCUUCUUUAUCCCUCUAAGGAACUAACACCCAACUAAAUUCCCUUGAUAAAAGUUUUGGGUUGGGGCGACCAUGGAGAAAAAGAAAUCCUCCCUGAUGACAACCUAACCAAGAGCCACAGCUCUAAGUAUUAAGACACUUAACUCCUAUUGACCCAUUUUAUGAUCAACGAACCAAGUUACCCUAGGGAUAACAGCGCAAUCCAUUUCAAGAGUUCCUAUCGACAAAUGGGUUUACGACCUCGAUGUUGGAUCAGGGCAUCCAAGUGGUGCAACCGCUACUAAAGGUUCGUUUGUUCAACGAUUAAAGCCCU